This 502-nucleotide ribosomal RNA is filed under the name uncultured Pseudomonadota bacterium. Its description in RNAcentral is "bacterial SSU rRNA". It matches the Rfam family "Bacterial small subunit ribosomal RNA", at positions 355 to 848 of the family's 1533-position model. Lineage: Bacteria; Pseudomonadati; Pseudomonadota. The record is from RNAcentral.
UCAGGAAUAUUGGGCAAUGGGCGAAAGCCUGACCCAGCAACGCCGCGUGAAGGAUGAAGGCCCUCGGGUCGUAAACUUCUGUCGAGAGGGAAGAAUGCGUACGGGUGAAUAAUCUGUGCGUUUGACGGUACCUCCAAAGGAAGCACCGGCUAACUCCGUGCCAGCAGCCGCGGUAAUACGGAGGGUGCAAGCGUUGUUCGGAUUCAUUGGGCGUAAAGCGAGUGUAGGCGGUUUGACAAGUCGGAUGUGAAAUCCCGGGGCCCAACCCCGGAACUGCAUCCGAUACUGUCUGGCUAGAGUCCCGGAGAGGGUGGCGGAAUUCCCGGUGUAGGGGUGAAAUCCGUAGAUAUCGGGAGGAACACCAGUGGCGAAGGCGGCCACCUGGACGGUGACUGACGCUGAGACUCGAAAGCGUGGGUAGCAAACAGGAUUAGAUACCCUGGUAGUCCACGCUGUAAACGGUGAGUGCUCGUCGUCGUGGGUAUUGACCCCUGCGGUGACC